Microcebus murinus (gray mouse lemur) is the source of this 242-nucleotide non-coding RNA. NCBI's taxonomy places the organism in Eukaryota, Metazoa, Chordata, Mammalia, Primates, Cheirogaleidae. The record is from RefSeq and is a predicted model, not a curated record.
UAACUGAAUGUCUCUCCCCACUCUGAAGGGCUCUCCAGGUGCUCACGCUACGCGAUCCUUCUGUGAUGAGCUGCAGGUGACUUUGGAAAGGACCACAGGGCCUUGAUUUUGCCCAUCAAUUCUCCCUCCUGCAUACUGAUCCCAUCCCUAGCUCCAGCUACAGAACUGAGGUUGCUGCAGACCAAGAUUUUAUCCUGUGUGUUGUGAAAUUACUACAUCAGUUGAAGUUGCAGCCUUACCAG